CGAACUCCGAAUGCCGGCGGCCCAGAGCGCGGCAGUCAGAGCAUGUGGGCUAAGCUGUGUGCUCGAGAGGGAAACAGCCCGGACCGCCCGCUAAGGUCCCCAAGUUCCAGCCGAGUGGCAAAGGAUGUGCGUCCGCCCAGACAACCAGGAUGUUGGCUUAGAAGCAGCCAUCCAUUCAAAGAGUGCGUAACAGCUCACUGGUCGAGUGGACAUGCGCCGACAAUACACGGGGCUAAGCUGGACACCGAAGCGGCGGGAUUUUGAUUUUCAGAAUCGGUAGGGGAGCUUCCCAUGGGCGGAGAAGCCGGAGGGCGACCGACGGUGGAGCGCAUGGGAGUGAGAAUGCUGGCAUGAGUAGCGAGAGACGAGAGAGUAACUCGUCCGCCGUGAACCCGAGGUUUCCUGGGCAAGGCUAAUCCUCCCAGGGUCAGUCGGGGGCUAAGGCGAGGCCGGGAGGCGUAGCCGACGCGCAGCAGGCAGACAUUCCUGCACCGCGCACGCGGCGCUACGACCGACGGGGCGACGGAUGGGGGUGGCUCGGCGGGGUUCUGGACGUCCCCGUGAUGGAGCGCGGCCCGCGGACCAGGGAAAUCCGGUCCGCAUCAAGGGCGAGGCUCCGGACGAAGCGACUGAGCGAAGCGAGUGAGCCCGAGGUCCCUAGAAAAACCCCUAGGCAGGCGCGUGCGCGCCCGUACCGCAAACCGACACAGGUGGGUGGGUAGAACAUACCGAGGCGAUCGGGUCAACCAUGGUCAAGGAACUCGGCACAAUGGCCCCGUAACUUCGGGAGAAGGGGUGCCCGCGCGUACGUGAACCGGCUUGCCCGGGGAGCGGAGGCGGGCCGCAGUGGAGAGGCCCAAGCGACUGUUUACCAAAAACACAGGACUCUGCAGAAGCCGCAAGGCGACGUAUAGGGUCUGACGCCUGCCCGGUGCCGGAAGGUCACGCGGAGGAGUUAGCUUUCGAGCGAAGCCCCGAAGCCAAGCCCCGGUAAACGGCGGCCGUAACUAUAACGGUCCUAAGGUAGCGAAAUUCCUUGUCGGGUAAGUUCCGACCUGCACGAAAGGCGCAACGACUUGGGCGCUGUCUCGACCAUGGACCCGGUGAAAUUGCACUGGUCGUGAAGAUGCGACUUACCCGCGGAAGGACGGAAAGACCCCGUGAACCUUCACUGCAGCUUGGCAUUGGCCGCUGGUCCCGCGUGUAGAGGAUAGGCAGGAGGCAUCGAUCCGGAGGCGCCAGCCCCCGGGGAGCCGCCCUUGGAAUACUGCCCUCGCGCGACCGGCGUCCUAACCCGAGGCCGUCAACCGGCUCGGGGACCGUGCCAGGCGGGCAGUUUGACUGGGGCGGUCGCCUCCUAAAGGGUAACGGAGGCGCGCGAAGGUCCGCUCGGGACGGUCGGCAACCGUCCUUUUGAAUGCAAGAGUACAAGCGGGCUUGACUGCGAGGCCCACAAGCCGAGCAGGUGCGAAAGCAGGCUCUAGUGAUCCGGCGGCCCCGAGUGGGUGGGCCGUCGCUCAACGGAUAAAAGGUACUCCGGGGAUAACAGGCUGAUCUUGCCCAAGAGUCCACAUCGACGGCAAGGUUUGGCACCUCGAUGUCGGCUCAUCGCAUCCUGGGGCUGGAGCAGGUCCCAAGGGUACGGCUGUUCGCCGUUUAAAGCGGUACGCGAGCUGGGUUCAGAACGUCGUGAGACAGUUCGGUCCCUAUCCUCCGUGGGCGCAGGAGAAUCGAUGGAGGCUGCCCCCAGUACGAGAGGACCGGGGUGGACGCACCUCCGGUGAACCGGUUGUCGACCAACGGCACGGCCGGGUAGCCGCGUGCGGCGCGGAUAACCGCUGAAGGCAUCUAAGCGGGAAGCCGUUCCAGGGAUUAGUUCUCCUUCCGGUAAGGGCCCAGGUAGACUACCUGGUCGAUAGACGGCAGGUGCAAGGACGGCGACGUCCUCAGCCGAGCCGCACUAAUCGCCCGAGCUCUUCCGGA
RNAcentral lists this ribosomal RNA (1983 nucleotides) under human gut metagenome. RNAcentral describes it as "bacterial LSU rRNA". It matches the Rfam family "Bacterial large subunit ribosomal RNA", at positions 950 to 2925 of the family's 2925-position model. The record is from RNAcentral.